This 478-nucleotide ribosomal RNA is filed under the name Rhynolaccus formicarius. RNAcentral describes it as "partial 16S ribosomal RNA". The record is from RNAcentral. Lineage: Eukaryota; Metazoa; Arthropoda; Insecta; Coleoptera; Brentidae.
CUUUUUGAUAUUUAUAAAAAGUCUAGCCUGCCCAAUGAUUAAUUAUUUAAUGGCCGCAGGAUAUUUACUGUGCAAAGGUAGCAUAAUCAUUAGUUUUUUAAUUGAAAGCUGGAAUGAAGGGUUGGAUGAGAAAAUAACUGUCUCUAUAAAAUUUUAUUAGAAUUUUAUUUUUAAGUUAAAAAGCUUAAAUAUUUUUAGAAGACGAGAAGACCCUAUAGAAUUUUAUAAAAUUUUACUUUUUUNNGUAUUAGUAAUUUUAUUAGUAAUUUAAAAUUUUAUUUAAUUGGGGUGAUUAAAAAAUUUAUUAAACUUUUUUUUUAUUAUUACAUUAAUUUAUGAAUAUUUGAUCUUAUGAUUUAAAUUAAAAGAUUAAAUUACCUUAGGGAUAACAGCGUAAUUUUUUUUUAGAGUUCAUAUUAAAAGAAAAGAUUGCSACCUCGAUGUUGGAUUAAAAUAAAUUUUUGGUGUAGAAGCUAAA